CACCGCGGUUAUACGAGAGACCCAAGUUGUUAGAUAUCGGCGUAAAGAGUGGUUAAGAUUCAUACAAGACUAAAGCCGAACGCCCUCAGAGCCGUUAUACGCACCCGAAGGUAAGAAGCCCAACCACGAAAGUGGCUUUAUAUUAUCCGAACCCACGAAAGCUAUGACA
This 169-nucleotide ribosomal RNA is filed under the name Lutjanus decussatus. Its description in RNAcentral is "partial small subunit ribosomal RNA". The record is from RNAcentral. Lineage: Eukaryota; Metazoa; Chordata; Actinopteri; Lutjaniformes; Lutjanidae.